This 253-nucleotide ribosomal RNA is filed under the name uncultured bacterium. Its description in RNAcentral is "partial 16S ribosomal RNA". It matches the Rfam family "Bacterial small subunit ribosomal RNA", at positions 524 to 776 of the family's 1533-position model. The record is from RNAcentral.
UACGAAGGGGGCUAGCGUUGCUCGGAAUGACUGGGCGUAAAGGGCGCGUAGGCGGCUUUGUAAGUUAGAGGUGAAAGCCCAGGGCUUAACCCUGGAAUUGCCUUUAAGACUGCAUCGCUAGAAUCGUGGAGAGGUGAGUGGAAUUCCGAGUGUAGAGGUGAAAUUCGUAGAUAUUCGGAAGAACACCAGUGGCGAAGGCGACUCACUGGACACGUAUUGACGCUGAGGUGCGAAAGCGUGGGGAGCAAACAGG